AACAAGGCGUACCUGCGGACCUGCGGAGGGAUCAUUACAGAGUUGCAAAACUCCCUAAACCAUUGUGAACGUUACCUAAACCGUUGCUUCGGCGGGCGGCCCGGGUCCUUCCCGGCGCCCAUCGGCCCUCGCGGGCGCCCGCCGGAGGUAAACCAAACUAUUGCAUUGUAUGGCCUCUCUGAGUCUUCUGUACUGAAUAAGUCAAAACUUUCAACAACGGAUCUCAGAUCGGAAGAGCAC
Molecule: unclassified non-coding RNA, 240 nt
Filed under: soil metagenome
Description: partial contains 5.8S ribosomal RNA, internal transcribed spacer 2, and large subunit ribosomal RNA
Source: RNAcentral